This 253-nucleotide ribosomal RNA is filed under the name uncultured bacterium. Its description in RNAcentral is "partial 16S ribosomal RNA". It matches the Rfam family "Bacterial small subunit ribosomal RNA", at positions 524 to 776 of the family's 1533-position model. The record is from RNAcentral.
GACGAACCGUGCGAACGUUGUUCGGAAUCACUGGGCUUAAAGGGCGCGUAGGCGGGUGUGCAAGUCUGUGGUGAAAGCCUCCAGCUUAACUGGAGAAGUGCCAUGGAUACUGCACAUCUUGAGGAGGGUAGGGGCAUCUGGAACGGUCGGUGGAGCGGUGAAAUGCGUUGAUAUCGACCGGAACUCCGGUGGCGAAGGCGAGGUGCUGGACCCUUUCUGACGCUGAGGCGUGAAAGCCAGGGGAGCAAACGGG